Molecule: ribosomal RNA, 286 nt
Filed under: uncultured Bacillariophyceae
Lineage: Eukaryota; Bacillariophyta; Bacillariophyceae
Description: partial 18S ribosomal RNA
Rfam family: Eukaryotic small subunit ribosomal RNA
Source: RNAcentral
CGUAUAUUAAAGUUGUUGCAGUUAAAAAGCUCGUAGUUGGAUUUGUGGCGUACGACGGGCUCCGGGCACUUGUUGUCUGAGUAGCUUGUCGUUGCCAUCCUUGGGUGGAAUCUGUGUGGCAUUAGGUUGUCGUGCAGGGGAUGCCCAUCUUUUACUGUGAAAAAAUUAGAGUGUUCAAAGCAGGCUUAUGCCGUUGAAUAUAUUAGCAUGGAAUAGUAAGAUAGGACUUUGUCGCUAUUUUGUUGGUUUGCGCGAUAAGGUAAUGAUUAAUAGGGACAGUUGGGGG